CCAAACUUGGUCAUUUAGAGGAAGUAAAAGUCGUAACAAGGUUUUCGUAGGUGAACCUGCGGAAGGAUCAUUACCGAAGUCUGGGGGAGUGCUGGCACUCUGUGCAUGUGCACCCUCCUUCCUUCAUCCACACACACCCGUGCACUUUUUGAGGCGGGGCUUCCCAGAGCCCGGCCAGUCCUUUGGCCGUGGUGGGAAGACCUGCCUACCCUUUCCACAAACUCUUUGUAUGACUUGGAACGUAGUGGCGGCUAGACCGCAAAACCAAUACACAACUUUCAACAACGGAUCUCUUGGUUCUCGCAUCGAUGAAGAACGCAGC
Molecule: unclassified non-coding RNA, 322 nt
Filed under: uncultured fungus
Lineage: Eukaryota; Fungi
Description: partial contains small subunit ribosomal RNA, internal transcribed spacer 1, and 5.8S ribosomal RNA
Rfam family: Eukaryotic small subunit ribosomal RNA (bases 1-73)
Source: RNAcentral